AAGAGUUUAGUUUAAAUUAAAAUAUAUAACUGUAAAUUAUAGGAUUCCUUUUUCUCUUGAUGUUAAUUUUA
Molecule: transfer RNA, 71 nt
Filed under: Hammerschmidtiella sp. ZengetLiu-2016
Lineage: Eukaryota; Metazoa; Nematoda; Chromadorea; Rhabditida; Thelastomatidae
Description: tRNA-Tyr
Source: RNAcentral